AUACAUGCGAGUCGAGCGAACAGACAGGAGCUUGCUCCUUUGACGUUAGCGGCGGACGGGUGAGUAACACGUGGGUAACCUACCUAUAAGACUGGNAUAACUUCGGGAAACCGGAGCUAAUACCGGAUAAUAUUUCGAACCGCAUGGUUCGAUAGUGAAAGAUGGUUUUGCUAUCACUUAUAGAUGGACCCGCGCCGUAUUAGCUAGUUGGUAAGGUAACGGCUUACCAAGGCGACGAUACGUAGCCGACCUGAGAGGGUGAUCGGCCAUACUGGAACUGAGACACGGUCNAAACUUAUACGGGAGGCAGCAGUAGGGAAUCUUCCGCAAUGGGCGAAAGCCUGACGGAGCAACGCCGCGUGAGUGAUGAAGGUCUUCGGAUCGUAAAACUCUGUUAUUAGGGAAGAACAUACGUGUAAGUAACUAUGCACGUCUUGACGGUACCUAAUCAGAAAGCCACGGCUAACUACGUGCCAGCAGCCGCGGUAAUACGUA
This 495-nucleotide ribosomal RNA is filed under the name bacterium xpnta247lbim13onp9.8. Its description in RNAcentral is "bacterial SSU rRNA". It matches the Rfam family "Bacterial small subunit ribosomal RNA", at positions 51 to 529 of the family's 1533-position model. The record is from RNAcentral.